AACGAACGCUGGCGGCAUGCCUAACACAUGCAAGUCGAACGAGACCUUCGGGUCUUUUGUCGUACGGGUGCGUAACUCGUGGGAACCUGCCCUUCGGGUCAGAAUAACUCCCCGAAAUGGGUGCUAAUACCGGAUAAUUUCUUCUGACCAAAGAUUUAUUGCCUUUGGAUGGUCCCGCGUUGGAUUAGCUUGUUGUUAGGGUAAAAGCUUACCACGCCGACGAUCAAUAGCUGGUCGGAGAGGAGGCUCAGCCACACUGGGACUGAGACACGGCCCAGACGACUACGGGAGGAAGGAGUGGGGAAUAGUGGAGAGUGGGCGAAAGACUGAUCGAGCAAUGCGGGGUGAGAGAUGAAGGCAUUAGGGUAGUAAAGCUGUUUUACCUGGGAUGAGAAUGACAGUACCGGGAUAAUAAGCGCCGGCUAACUACGUG
RNAcentral lists this ribosomal RNA (433 nucleotides) under uncultured bacterium. Its description in RNAcentral is "partial 16S ribosomal RNA". It matches the Rfam family "Bacterial small subunit ribosomal RNA", at positions 29 to 507 of the family's 1533-position model. The record is from RNAcentral.